Falco peregrinus (peregrine falcon) is the source of this 1244-nucleotide long non-coding RNA. RefSeq lists it as uncharacterized. The transcript has 5 exons. NCBI's taxonomy places the organism in Eukaryota, Metazoa, Chordata, Aves, Falconiformes, Falconidae. The record is from RefSeq and is a predicted model, not a curated record.
CCUGGGCGUGCGGGACGGUAAGUCACGCCCCCGCGUUUCCUCACAAAUGUGUUAAGACUAUAAAAUUGAGUUCGACUUAUUAACACCACAAAAAUGCCGCCAGGCUUACGGGCCUGCGCUGGUUUUGAAUGCGGGUUUGUACAUGUACAGAGCCCAGCUGCUCCAUGGCACCGCCCAGGCCCAGCUACCCCGGAGAAGGUGGCGGGGGGGCGGGAAUUCACUUCAUGGUUCUCACCCUGCCCUGGCAGCCGUGUGAGGGACACCCCACAAGUUCUGCUCCCUGCUUUCUGUGGUGAGAAAAUUAACUGCUGGCUUUUGCACUCAUCCUGAUUCGAAAUUCUCCAUGGAACCACCCUGGCACAGCUCCACCAGAGAAGGUGCCAGGGAGGGAUUCUCCUCAUGGUUCUCACCCUGCCCUGGUAGCCGUUUGAGGUACACCACAGAAGUUCUGUUCUCUGCUUUCUGUGGUGAGAAAAUUAACUGCUCAAUUUUGCACUUGUGCAGAGCACAAAUGCUCCAUGGAACCAACCAGACACAGCUCCACCAGAGAAGGUGCCAGGGAGGGAUUCCCUUACUGGUUCUCACCUUGCCCUGGUGCGUAUGUGAAGGAUGUCACCAAAGUUCUGGUGUAUGCUUUCUGAGGUAAAAAAUUUAAUUGCUUGCUUUUGUACAUGUACAGACUCAGAUGCUCCGUGGAACCAUGCAGCCACAGCUACUCUGGAGAGGGUGCCAUGAUGGACUUACCUGUUUUCUGAACCGAUAAAAGGUACCGUCAGCAGAACAGAACAGUCCGUGCUGUCUCUGUCGUAUCUCAACAUAAACAGAGCAUCACCCAGAGCAUGGCACCAAACCCAUCCUCACCCUGCCCUGGUAGCUAUCUGAAGGACAUCACUAAAGCUGGACUACCCACUUGCUGAACCAAUAAAAGGUGCUGGACUACUGCUGCAAGUUAACAGUGUUUCGCUGGUGUACUGCAAAACUGCCUUAUGCCGUGGCAAUGGACUUUUUCAUCAGAAAUUCCAUCAAGCUUGAAAGCUUUUGAUGUGCUGUGGAUGAGCUGUCACAAGAUCCAAUAACACUGCAGGUGAUAUUCAAAGCCUGAAUCAUGCAAUGAGCUCUGUACUUCAUGGGAUCUUCAGACGUGAUGACACACUUUGAUUUCUUUCUUGGCGUACACAGUAUGUGCUGUGGUGCAGAGGAUUCCAGUUGCCAUAAUUUCCAGUGGAAAGAAUAAUUAUCACAGG